CAGUACAGUGGCGCUUGCCGCGCCUGAUGCGAACUGCUAGAAAUGACGGUGGUGUGCUGUCGGCCUGUUUGGCGGGAGCCGUUACGACGAAGCGGAGUGGUGGAGUUGCCAGGAGGCGCAAACAAAGAAAGCAUUCAUGCGAUCUGUUAGUGAAACGAGGAAAACGCGGCUGCUUCGGAUGAAAAAGUAUCUGAGAAGCCUGCAGAAAGUGGCCACUCUUCUAGCAACCCAAUCCCUUGUCCUGACGCACUACUUGAAGUGAAGGCACAAGAACUUGGCAACAGGUCUCCACCAGGCCCAUGUAUUUUGAAAGAGUAUGGCAACUUUAAAAUUGCCUGCAAGGAAAAUAUUGUGGCGCUACCACCUGCAUCAUCACCUGAGAAGGCAGUCAUCGUCCUGUUGACUGUAUAUUUUAUUUUAAACCUGUCAUACCCAUACGCUUUCGGACAGUUUUUGGGACUUGUGCAGGCAGUUGUUGUGAAGGGUGACACAUUUGGACAGUGGCUUGAUGUCGUUUAAGGUAAAGUCUCUGUUGAAAAAUCUGAAGUGGUCAGGCAUAACUACUGACGUGGUAAAUGUUUGGUAGGUAGAAGCAGCAUGUCAGCUGCAACAUUGUGAAGUCGUGCCUUCUUUUAAGAUUGUUUAUCACCAAGUUAAAGCACUGGCUGUUGGUUUCAAGG
This is a long non-coding RNA of Dermacentor silvarum, 680 nucleotides long. RefSeq lists it as uncharacterized. The transcript has 3 exons. The record is from RefSeq and is a predicted model, not a curated record. NCBI's taxonomy places the organism in Eukaryota, Metazoa, Arthropoda, Arachnida, Ixodida, Ixodidae.